Molecule: non-coding RNA, 107 nt
Filed under: Leptolyngbya valderiana
Lineage: Bacteria; Bacillati; Cyanobacteriota; Cyanophyceae; Leptolyngbyales; Leptolyngbyaceae
Description: TPP sequence
Rfam family: TPP riboswitch aptamer (THI element)
About the family: Vitamin B(1) in its active form thiamin pyrophosphate (TPP) is an essential coenzyme that is synthesised by coupling of pyrimidine and thiazole moieties in bacteria. The previously detected thiamin-regulatory element, thi box was extended, resulting in a new, highly conserved RNA secondary structure, the THI element, which is widely distributed in eubacteria and also occurs in some archaea. Analysis of operon structures identified a large number of new candidate thiamin-regulated genes, mostly transporters, in various prokaryotic organisms.
Source: RNAcentral
UGUUCUUCCUCGGGGCGGCCCAAGGCCUGAGACACGCGGUGAAUUCGCGUGGACCCGUCGAACCUGAUCCGGUUAAUGCCGGCGUAGGGAAGGAAACGAGAACCAGU